GCCUCGGUGGUGUAGUAAUAGCACGCGUCCCUGGCAUGGGUGAAAGGCGGGUUCAACUCCCGUCUGAGGUC
Parelaphostrongylus tenuis is the source of this 71-nucleotide non-coding RNA. The record is from the annotation of a GenBank genome assembly. Lineage: Eukaryota; Metazoa; Nematoda; Chromadorea; Rhabditida; Metastrongylidae.